Tupaia belangeri (northern tree shrew) is the source of this 107-nucleotide small nuclear RNA. Lineage: Eukaryota; Metazoa; Chordata; Mammalia; Scandentia; Tupaiidae. The record is from Ensembl.
GUUCUUGCUUCGGCAGCGCACAUGCUAAAAAUUGGAAUGAUACAGGGAAGAUUAGGAUGGCCCUGUGCAAGGAUGACGUGUAAAUUUGUGAAGUGUUCCAUAUUUUU